AAUAUUGCACAAUGGAGGGAACUCUGAUGCAGCAACGCCGCGCGAGUGAAGAAGGUUUUCGGAUCGUAAAACUCUGUCAUUGGGGAAGAAUAAAUGACGGUACCCAAGGAGGAAGCCCCGGCUAACUACGUGCCAGCAGCCGCGGUAAUACGUAGGGGGCAAGCGUUGUCCGGAAUUACUGGGCGUAAAGGGUGCGUAGGCGGCAUAUCAAGUCAGGUGUGAAACCCCACGGCUCAACUGUGGGCUUGCACAUGAAACUGGUAUGCUUGAGUGCAGGAGAGGAAAGUGGAAUUCCUAGUGUAGUGGUGAAAUGCGUAGAGAUUAGGAAGAACACCAGUGGCGAAGGCGACUUUCUGGACUGUAACUGACGCUGAGGCACGAAAGCGUGGGGAGCAAACA
Molecule: ribosomal RNA, 399 nt
Filed under: uncultured bacterium
Lineage: Bacteria
Description: partial 16S ribosomal RNA
Rfam family: Bacterial small subunit ribosomal RNA
Source: RNAcentral